RNAcentral lists this ribosomal RNA (440 nucleotides) under uncultured bacterium. RNAcentral's name for it is "partial 16S ribosomal RNA". It matches the Rfam family "Bacterial small subunit ribosomal RNA", at positions 338 to 795 of the family's 1533-position model. The record is from RNAcentral.
CCUACGGGCGGCAGCAGUAGGGAAUAUUGCUCAAUGGGGGAAACCCUGAAGCAGCAACGCCGCGUGGAGGAUGAAGGUUUUCGGAUUGUAAACUCCUUUUGUUAGAGAAGAUAAUGACGGUAUCUAACGAAUAAGCACCGGCUAACACCGUGCCAGCAGCCGCGGUAAUACGGAGGGUGCAAGCGUUACUCGGAAUCACUGGGCGUAAAGCGCGCGUAGGCGGGAUAGCAAGUCAGAUGUGAAAUCCUAUGGCUUAACCAUAGAACUGCAUUUGAAACUGGUAGUCUAGAGUAUGGGAGAGGUAGGUGGAAUUCUUGGUGUAGGGGUAAAAUCCGUAGAGAUCAAGAGGAAUACUCAUUGCGAAGGCGACCUGCUAGAACAUAACUGACGCUGAUGCGCGAAAGCGUGGGGAGCAAACAGGAUUAGAUACCCCUGUAGUC